UACGGGGGGAGCAAGCGUUGUUCGGAUUUACUGGGCGUAAAGGGCGCGUAGGCGGUCAGCACAAGUCAGUUGUGAAAUCUCCGAGCUUAACUCGGAAAGGUCAACUGAAACUGUGCGACUAGAGUGCGGAAGGGGCAACUGGAAUUCUUGGUGUAGCGGUGAAAUGCGUAGAUAUCAGGAGGAACACCGAUUGCGAAGGCAGCUCGCUGGAACGUUACUGACGCUGAGACGCGAAAGCGUGGGGAGCAAACAGG
This 254-nucleotide ribosomal RNA is filed under the name uncultured bacterium. RNAcentral describes it as "partial 16S ribosomal RNA". It matches the Rfam family "Bacterial small subunit ribosomal RNA", at positions 524 to 776 of the family's 1533-position model. The record is from RNAcentral.